This 511-nucleotide ribosomal RNA is filed under the name Agabus morosus. RNAcentral describes it as "partial 16S ribosomal RNA". It matches the Rfam family "Bacterial large subunit ribosomal RNA", at positions 1832 to 2597 of the family's 2925-position model. Lineage: Eukaryota; Metazoa; Arthropoda; Insecta; Coleoptera; Dytiscidae. The record is from RNAcentral.
GUCCUUUUGAUGUUAAUUUAAGGUCUAACCUGCCCACUGAAAUUUUUUGAAGGGCCGCAGUAAUUUGACUGUGCAAAGGUAGCAUAAUCAUUAGUUUUUUAAUUGAAAGCUUGUAUGAAGGGUUGGACGAGGUAAAUUCUGUCUCUAUUUAAUUUUAUUUAGAAUUUAAUUUUUAAGUUAAAAAGCUUAAAUUUAUUUAAAAGACGAGAAGACCCUAUAGAUCUUUAUAUUAAAAAUAUUAAUUUUAAUUAAGAAUAUUUAAUUUUUUAAUAUUUAUAAUAUUUUAUUGGGGUAAUAAAAAGAUUAAAAUAAUUCUUUUUUUAUUUUAACAUUAAUUUAUGAUUAUAUGAUCCAAUUUUAUUGAUUAAAAGAUUAAGUUACCUUAGGGAUAACAGCGUAAUUUUUUUAGAGAGUUCAUAUCGAUAAAAAAGUUUGCGACCUCGAUGUUGGAUUAAAAAUUAUCUUAGGUGCAGAAGUUUAAGAUUUUGGUCUGUUCGACCAUUAAAUUUUU